RNAcentral lists this ribosomal RNA (272 nucleotides) under unidentified marine bacterioplankton. RNAcentral's name for it is "partial 16S ribosomal RNA". It matches the Rfam family "Bacterial small subunit ribosomal RNA", at positions 65 to 339 of the family's 1533-position model. RNAcentral also lists the same sequence under 1 other name. The record is from RNAcentral.
AACGAUGAACCUUAGCUUGCUAAGGGGAUUAGUGGCGCACGGGUGAGUAAUAUAUAGUUAACGUGCCUCUUAGUCUGGGAUAGCCAUUGGAAACGAUGAUUAAUACUGGAUACUCCUUCUAACUAUAAUGUUAGUUGGGAAAGUUUUUCGCUAAGAGAUCGGACUAUAUCCCAUCAGCUUGUUGGUAGUGUAAGAGACUACCAAGGCAAUGACGGGUAGCGGGUUUGAGAGGAUGAUCCGCCACACUGGUACUGAGACACGGACCAGACUCC